UUGCUCAUUUCAACAGCACGUAUACUGAAAUUAGAGUGCCAGAGAGAAGAGUAGCAUGGCCCCUGGACAAGGAUGACUCAUAAAUUCGACUUAUUAGAAGCCUUCCU
Myodes glareolus (Bank vole) is the source of this 107-nucleotide small nuclear RNA. Lineage: Eukaryota; Metazoa; Chordata; Mammalia; Rodentia; Cricetidae. The record is from RefSeq and is a predicted model, not a curated record.